GAUGAACGCUGGCGGCGUGCCUAAUACAUGCAAGUCGAGCGAACAGAUGAGGAGCUUGCUCCUCUGACGUUAGCGGCGGACGGGUGAGUAACACGUGGAUAACCUACCUAUAAGACUGGGAUAACUUCGGGAAACCGGAGCUAAUACCGGAUAAUAUAUUGAACCGCAUGGUUCAAUAGUGAAAGACGGUUUUGCUGUCACUUAUAGAUGGAUCCGCGCCGCAUUAGCUAGUUGGUAAGGUAACGGCUUACCAAGGCAACGAUGCGUAGCCGACCUGAGAGGGUGGACCGGCACACUUGGACUUGGGCACGGUUCAGGCUCCCACGGGAAGCAAGAGGUGGGAAUCUUCCGGAAUGGGGCGAAGGCUUGCCGGGGAACGGCGGGGGGAGGGUUAAGGUCUUCCGAUCGGAAAACCUUUUUUAUUGGGAAAAAAAAAUGUGUAAGUAACUAUGCACGUCUUGACGGUACCUAAUCAGAAAGCCACGGCUAACUACGUG
Molecule: ribosomal RNA, 497 nt
Filed under: uncultured bacterium
Lineage: Bacteria
Description: partial 16S ribosomal RNA
Rfam family: Bacterial small subunit ribosomal RNA
Source: RNAcentral